ACCGAGUUUACAACUCCCAAACCCAAUGUGAACGUUACCAAACUGUUGCCUCGGCGGGGUCACGCCCCGGGUGCGUCGCAGCCCCGGAACCAGGCGCCCGCCGGAGGAACCAACCAAACUCUUUCUGUAGUCCCCUCGCGGACGUAUUUCUUACAGCUCUGAGCAAAAAUUCAAAAUGAAUCAAAACUUUCAACAACGGAUCUCUUGGUUCUGGCAUCGAUGAAGAACGCAGCGAAAUGCGAUAAGUAAUGUGAAUUGCAGAAUUCAGUGAAUCAUCGAAUCUUUGAACGCACAUUGCGCCCGCCAGUAUUCUGGCGGGCAUGCCUGUCCGAGCGUCAUUUCAACCCUCGAACCCCUCCGGGGGAUCGGCGUUGGGGAUCGGGACCCCUCACACGGGUGCCGGCCCCGAAAUACAGUGGCGGUCUCGCCGCAGCCUCUCCUGCGCAGUAGUUUGCACAACUCGCACCGGGAGCGCGGCGCGUCCACGUCCGUAAAACACCCAACUUUCUGAAAUGUUGACCUCGGAUCAGGUAGGAAUACCCGCUGAACUUAAGCAUAUAAA
RNAcentral lists this ribosomal RNA (562 nucleotides) under Trichoderma harzianum. RNAcentral's name for it is "eukaryotic LSU rRNA". The stretch from base 185 to 338 matches the Rfam family "5.8S ribosomal RNA". Lineage: Eukaryota; Fungi; Ascomycota; Sordariomycetes; Hypocreales; Hypocreaceae. The record is from RNAcentral.